RNA transcript from Dermochelys coriacea (leatherback sea turtle), 4012 nucleotides. It is a transcript of the gene named ADP ribosylation factor like GTPase 13B, with no coding region annotated. The transcript has 12 exons. NCBI's taxonomy places the organism in Eukaryota, Metazoa, Chordata, Testudines, Dermochelyidae. The record is from RefSeq and is a predicted model, not a curated record.
CCUGGAGCGUUCUCCCUGGGGCCCCGACCCCGGCCCGUGGGCGAGCGCAGUGGGGGGGAAAGGGGGAGGGGGAGAUCCGGUCACGUGCCACCCCAGCGGCAGCGUUGGGCCCGGAGGAUCCGCUUCUGAGCGGAGCUACCGACUCGAACGCGGACCCCUCCCCCUCCCGGGGCCCUCAUGGCGGCGGCGGGGGGGGUGGAGGGGGCGCGCGCGCGCGCGCGGGGAGCCGCCGGCGGGCGGGGCUACAGGCGCCUACGCGGCUGCGUCGCCUCGCCCCGCCGCUGAGCGCCAGUGACAAGACUGCACCUGAGCUGGUGCUCUCUGCUCCUCCAUCUUCUUGUCUCUCUCACUGGAGUUCUCUGACCUGUCUACACACAAUUUCAGUAGCUUCCUUGGCCCUGGAUGGCUGGCGAAGAGGGAUGUUUAGUCUGAUGGCUAAUUGCUGUAACUGGUUAAAAGGGUGGCGGGAGCCUGUCAGGAAGGUGACACUAGUGAUGGUGGGACUUGAUAAUGCUGGUAAAACUGCUACAGUGAAAGGAAUUCAAGGAGAGUCUCCUGAAGAUGUAGCUCCAACAGUGGGAUUUUCUAAAAUUGACCUUAAACAGGGAAGGUUUGAAGUCACUAUCUUUGACUUAGGAGGUGGAAAACGAAUACGAGGCAUCUGGAAGAAUUACUAUGCUGAGGCAUAUGGGAUAAUAUUUGUUGUGGAUUCCAGUGACACAGAGAGAAUGGAAGAGACGAAAGAGACCAUGACUGAAGUUCUAAGGCAUCCUAGGAUAUCUGGGAAGCCUAUAUUAGUGCUGGCAAAUAAGCAGGACCGAGAAGGAGCGUUGGCAGAAGCAGAUGUAAUUGAGUGCUUAUCGCUGGAAAAGCUUGUCAAUGAGCAUAAAUGUCUGUGUCAGAUUGAGCCUUGCUCAGCUGUCAUGGGCUAUGGGAAAAAAAUUGACAAAUCUAUAAGAAAAGGUCUGUAUUGGCUGCUACAUACUAUAGCAAAAGAUUUUGAUACCUUAAAUGAGCGCAUACAAAAAGACACAACAGAGCAAAAAGCAUAUGAGGAACAAGAGAAGCGAGAACGAGCUGAACGAGUAAGGAAGAUACGAGAAGAAAGAGAACAAAGGGAGAGAAAAGAAAGUGAAUGUGAAGGAAGAAAUGUACCUAAGGAGGUUGACUCUGAGCCAAUUUCUAGCAACCCCUUCCAGCCAAUAUCUACUGUAAUCACUGAGAAUGAAAAAAGAAUUGAAAAAGAGAAGAGGCAGAGGAUGGAGACUGAAAAAAAUGCCAUUGCCUUGAAACCUAAAGCAGAGCAGGAACAAAUGGACACACAGAGCCUAACCAGCAGCUGUAGCCAAAAAACAAAUGAUUAUAGACUGAUAGAAACAUACAAAUCUGCAUUCGCACAGCAAUUGGAGCGUGAAGAAGAGGGUGACCAACAAACCUCGGAAUGCCUUGAUUCAGAUACCAGUAAAAAGAAAACAAAGAAACUGAAGUUAAAAAGGAGUCACAGGGUGGAACCAGUCAGUGCAGAGGAAGCUGUUCCCAAAAAUCCGACCCCACCUCCACCUCUUCCACCAGAUCUUGGAAAUCAUGCACCUUGGUAUAACUUGAACAUUACUUUUAUGACAGGAAAAAAAAAUACUGAUGGUACCUACAGCAAUUAACAGGCAGGUACAAAAAUAUUUGAGAUGAUUUAGACAUCUUGUCUUACAAAUGGUUAGUGUCCUGAUUUUCAGGAUGAUCUGCUUGUCCUAUCUGAUUGAAGUACACUGUUCUUCCAGCUUUUAAUUGGGUAACUUUUUCAGUAUCUACAUCUAUUGAUGGAAUCUCUUACAGUGUAUGCAGUUAGUAUUAGAUUGAAAGUGUAAAGCUGGGGAAACAUGGAAAGUGUUUUGUCUUUUGCAUUAACAAAAGUGCAAGAAAAUUCAAUAAGUGCAACUCUCUAAAAUAUUAAGAUAUUUUUCACUGCUUUUUAUAUUACAUUUUAAAUAUUUUGUUUUCAGUGGAUUCACUAAUACACCAAGUAUAAAGUAUUCCUUUCCCUACUCCCUGAUACUUUCUUGUCUCCUGAGGAGAAAGAUUCCCCCUCCCUCCCUCCCAUCUUUUCUUCAGAGCCAAAUAUUUUGACAGAGUGGUACGUUUUUUAAUGUGUUUGUUUUUCUUUAGUUGGCUGGGGAACCCCCAAAGUUAAUAGACUUCGAAAACUUGAACCUCUUGGUGAAACCCGUCAUACUGGAGUUUAAAGAGAAGAAAGAGAGAAAGAAAAGCCAGAAAAGAGAUUUCUAUGGAAAGCCGCUACCUCCGUUGACUAUACGGCAGAGACCUAACAGUGACAUCCAUGAUGUCAUUUCUUAACCAGAUCACAUGCUACAUUUUUAACUUAAUCACAAAAUUAUAACAAUUUUUCUUACUUGAAGAAAACUUGAUACUGUUUAAAAAGUUGCUGUGAGAUGAGACAGUAAGAACCCAUUUUCUUUUCUGCCACGGGUUAAUUCUACUGGACUGGAUUGAUGAGAUUUUCUACUUGGCUUAUUAGUUACUGUUCACAUACUCACCAGCUCUUCUUCAGGGGUUAAUAGGGACAUGAAGAACAGAAACGUUUGAGAGCACUUGCAUACAUGUGGAAUUUGGGAUCAGAUUAGUACUGUUGGGUUUCAUAUUGGGGUUUACUUGCCAGACUAUAUAGCUAUAACCCUGAAGAAAAACACCUUGAAGAUCAAAUGCAAAUGGAUUGGGGAUGCACAUCAAGACUGUCAUUCAUAUGUUGUGUAGUAAUCCAUAUUUCUACAGCUAAUAAUUUUAAGGCAUUUUGUAAGAUGUGUGCAUGUUAGAGUGAAUAUAGAGAAUUAUAUGCUACAAAUGUUAACUAUAUUUUUAUAAUUUUUUCUAAUAUUUUAUUUGGGAAUUUGAUUUAACAUUAAUACCUGUUACUCACCAUCAAAAUGGUGUCUAGAAAGUGUUAGAAAUUUGUUGAUAGCUUUACCCAUAUGAGUAUAUUGACUUUUAUGUUUACUUUAUAAUAGCAAUACAUUUUGGUUGGGACUUGCAUCACCAGUUGCCCUAAUUAUUCAUAUAUUGCCCUUCUGGCAGUCUCUGGGGUUUUUAGAGAUAAACGGAUUUUACACAUAAUUAUGGUACUUGAAUGGACUGUCUAAAAGUUUUCUUCUUAUGGAUCAUUUUGUUUUGUUAAAUGGGAGUUGAGAUGCAUAGUAAAUGUUUUCAGAUAUCUUAAUUGAAUAUUAUGUGCUAUAAGAUAGAAUUGCACACAAUUGAAAUUUUGAACUCAUUUCAACUAAGAAUUCAGGUGAAAAAUCAAAUCAGUUAGCAUACAUGUCUGUUUAAUGUGUUCUAUAAAACACUAAAAAAUGUCAUAUUGAAAAUGUAAAAAGCAGAGAUUUUUAAGCCAAUGUAAUGAGCCUAAUUCUAACCUUCCAAAUAAUGUGCCCCUCCCUUAUUAAUUUUUUAAAAGGGAGUGGCGUGUUGGAGGAGAGAAUUGGAUUUACUGUACUUCAAAUGUUUUGAUAUAAGUUUGUAUUCCGUUACAUUUGGGAGAAUAAUUUCUAUACCAUGUGUGUACGUAUAAUUUUACUACUUAGUUGCUGGUGACUGGAAAACCUUCCAUACAACGUUAUAGUGAGGUUGAAAGCAUUUGUGAAAAAAGCACAGGUCCUAAAUCAAAGGUUUUUGGAAUAGGCAGGCAAUGAUGACUUUCUGUUACGCAACCAGCUUCCCGUCAUCUCAUACUAGCAAAAGACAUUAGGCUGUGAUAAUGCAGUGAAAUAUAUUCAUCAGCUAUCUUAACAUUUGGAAGCAUUGCAUGAGGUUUUAGCCACAUGACUCUUCUUAAAGUCAAUGGGAGUGACAGCUAAAACCCCACACAAUUCUUUUGAAAUGUAACCCUUACUUAAUGGUUUAAAAUAUUAGUUUGUUUUAAUUAAAGCAAAACAGUCAGUAACAUUAAGGAUGUGUAUUGCAUUGGGAAGAGAGAGAACUCAAAUUCAGUGAGUAAUGGGUAUGU